GGGAGCACUGAGGGGUUGGGGAGUGCACUCCCUAGGGGUAGGGUAGGCGGAUACAGGGAGGAGGACUUCUUUGAGGAAUGGUUGGAGUUCAGGUGGGGAGAAGCGGACACACAUUCCGGGCAGAGACAGUUCUAGCAGAAGAGUCUGGGGACAAGAAAGUAUGUAGUGUGUUCAGGGAAAGGGCAUGAAAUGUGUCUGAGAUGCAGGGUGGGAAAAGAGGGGUGCGGGAGGGAGGAAACAGGGCAGGGCUUUCGGUGCCACCAUAGGGAGUGUGACUUCUCCUGAGGUUGAUGGGGAACCCUGCAGGGUUCGAAGCAGGGGAGCGAUGUCAUCAGGUGUGGGUUCUAGAGAGAUCGCUGUGGCAGUAGGUAGAGAGGACAGAUAAAAGGAAGGAAAAAGAGAGGACUGAUUGAAGUUGUCACAGUGAGUUGAAGGUGGUCUAAACGAAGGCAAUGGCAAGGGAGCAGGACAGGGGGACAGAUGGGAGAGAGCUUUCUGAAACAGAACAGCAAUACUUACAGUAGAACAGUUUGGGGGAGAGAAGGUAAGGACAACUGAAUUUUCUGGCUCUGGAACCUGAGGUAGACAGUGACAGCAUUAACUGGGAUGGGGGACCCAGGAAAGGAGCAGGGUGAGGUCACCUUCAGGGUACCUGUCAGACAUCCAUUUCUUCAAGAGCUCUCUGUACUAGGCCCCUGGAUGUGGGAGUAGAUAAGGCCCAACCUCAUCCACAGGAGGCUAGAGGGAGAGAGAAGAGAGAAUAUUGUAUUAGGAAGCUUCGGUUGUAAGUGACAGAAACUCAGUUCAAACCAGGCUAAGGGGGGAAAAAUUGAAAAGGAAAAGGAGAGAUUGAGAAUUUAGUGGCUCCUUUACCUUGGAGUUACAAGGGCAUGUCAACUUCAGGCGUUGCUGGAUCCAGGGUUCCUAAUAGGGUGGAGAGGAAGGUUCUACCCUCAGGGGGCUCCUUGUGUUAUCUCCCCUCCACCCCAUCAGUCAGUUCUGUUUGUUUCCGCCUGUCUUUAAGAAUGGGCCUCUUUCUAGCCCACGGCAGACGGGCCCUCUCCAGUCCCAGGAAGGAUGCUCACAUGUCCACACACUGUCAGCUCACACUUCAGAAGGAAAGGCCAGUGGCCCUACUGGCUGUGUGGACCGACAGUCCCAGGAAGGGCUCUGAUUGACCCAGUGGGCAUCACCCGCCCAGCCCCCGCCCAGUCACUGUACCAAGGAGAAUGUGGCACUGUGGUUGGCCUCCUUGCCCUUCCCAGCUUGUAGGGCCCUGUGAUGGACAUCCCGCCGGCCCCCAUGGACAGGAAAUGAGAAGGACUGGGGAUACGCCAGAUGGGCACGACGAACUACAUCCCUGCCUCCGUUCAGCCCGAGGCUUGAGGGCAGAACCCUGGGGAACACCGAUGUUGAACAGAACUUGGGAAGGAGACUGAGGAGUAUGAGAGGGGUUCUGGGUCUUCAAGGCAGGAGAGAAGUUCUGCAAGGAAGGAACGGGCAGAGGCAAGUUCUGGAAGGGACGACAGGCUCCUGCUGUUCUGGGCUCCACCCACCCAAGUGGAAAGGCCCCCCCCCCCCCCCCCCAAUUCAGCCAAUACAGGUGCUACCCCCUGCCCCCAGCAGAGCCUGUUUCCCUAUUUGGGAAAUGAGGAUUCCAACAGAACACUCCCCCCAGCCGUGGCUGAGGGGCAUGAGUGAGCUGGCGCUGAGAAAUGCUUACCUCGGUGCCUGGCACCUGGUAAGGGCUCAAUAAAUGGGAGCCACGUAAGGUGCUGGUGGAAGAUACGGCGGUAAUAAUGGCACGCAGAUUCCUGCUGUCCUGGGAGGGCGGAAAGUACGCUGAUAAAUUCAGCAUCACUGAGAUACCGUUCAUUCAGUCAGUCUUUAAUGGAACACCUGCUGUAUACCGGUCCCUAUGCCAGACACAGCAGAUGGCAAGAAGGCUAGAACGCAAGAGUCUGAGGUAGUGUGGGACAGACACAGCUAAUAGUUAGGCUGUAAGGUCAUAAGCACCAUAGGGACUGGGCUGUGGGAGCCCAGAGAAACUCGGUCCUGUGGAGGCGCGAGGGCAGCGCCCCGAGAAGGCAGAAUUUGACCUGGGUCUGAAGGACGCUGGUGAAGGACGGAAACAGCUGACAUUUCACAAGUGUUCAUAGAGGAUCGGGUACUAGGUCGGGUAUCUAUUUCCACGCAUGAGGUAGGGGGCGUUGUCCCUGUUACGUGGAUGGGGGCGGGGGGCCCAGGCUUGCUCAGAGUCACUUGCUUGUAAGUGGGGGCACCGGGCCUGGCCCAGGGGCCUGACCCCACUGGAUGGAGGAGAGAGGAGAGAUAGGAGGUCAGGCAGAGGGGAAAAAGUGUGACCCAACCGUCCGGGAGGGAGAGAGGGAGCCAGGAUUCCCGCACAGGGAACGUCACGCCUCUGAGAGUGUGGGGCAGGGACAGUAGAACAAACAUGAGGUGGGAGCCGUGACCUCCAGCAAGUGUGGCGCCCCCUGGAACCUACCUCUCCUUAUUUGUAAAAUGGGGACAAGGAAGUCUGUUAUCUUCAUCCCCAUUUUACAGAUGAGGAAACUGAUUGUUAGAUCGAGACCGUCUGGCUGCAGGGCCCACAUGCUAAGCCACAACACCAUGGUUCUGUUGGAGCCGAUGAGCUGUGAGAGUUCACUGCAAACCCUCCUCUCUGCCUCAAGGGUAGUCAUGAAGAGCACCCCAAGGGAAGUGGGGAGCCUCCACAGGAAGAGCCCUCAGAGGACCCCAGAAGACAGUCCUGUGCUCUUAUGCAGAAAUCCGAUCUCUUAAGGCCCUUAGAGACUAUUUCAUUCAUGCAUUGGGGGGAUGACGCAUGUAACUUACAAAUAGGGAAACAGCCCAGAAAGAGGGAAGUGACUGGUCCAAGGCCACACAACGAGCUGGUCGCGGAGAGCCAUCUAGAACGCAGGUUGCCCGACACCUGGUCCUGUGCUCUUUCUCCAUUCCAAAGUCCUCUCGUCACAAAUGACCUCUCCUCUGUCUACAGGGCGGCAAUCUCUCCCAGUGCCGAACACCUAGUGCGGACCAGGCACUUCAUCUGCCUGUCUCUGGUCUUCCAGACUACCCUGUGAAGUAUUAUCCACGGCAGCCAGGAGACCUAGAAGUACGCACAGAUAAGACCUGGUUUACUGAUAGCACAUUACAAAGCGUACCAAGUAAUCGUGCAUCCAGACUCCCCCGCCCUAUAAAUCAUACAAUCCGAUUUCACAGAAGAGAGAACUGAGGUUCAGAGAUGGGAAAAGUCUGCCUCAGGGGCUCCCGGCUAGGAAGCAACAAGGUGAGGACUAGUGUGCGGGCAUUUCUGACUCCAAAGCCAGGGUGUCUUGUCCCCGCCCCAAUCUGCUGUCAGGUAAAAGAUGGCAGGACUUGCCGAGGGAGCUGAAGGGUGACGGCUGGAGGGGCUGAUCCCCAAUGAUGAGCGAGGUAACAGUUCUCACAGUGGCUAAACAAAGAGCCCUUGCAGUCCGGCUGCCUGGGUUCGAGUCUUGUUCUGUCCCUUCUUAGAUCUGUGCCCUCAGGCAAGGCACUGGUCCUCCCUGAGCCUCAGUUUCCUCGUCUGUAAAUGGGGAUGGUAAUAAUGUUGCCCACCUCGCUGUGUUGUUGGAGGGUUAAAUUAGAAGCGUGUGGCACACAGCAAGCACAGUGAAAGUCUUGCCUCUUAUUUGCUGGCACCUUGUAUGACAUUUGGUAGAGGCCUCCUGUCUCGUCUACUAUUAAUACUGCCUUUAUAGCACUGCGUGUUCCGGAGCCUGGCCACCUGGGCUCCGCCACUUGCUAGCUGUGUGGUCUAGAGCUUAGAGGGAGACUGAAGGUCAGGCUCAUGAAGUUUAUGCCUUGGGUCGCUCCCUUGCGAGGCCUUGUGCAUCAUUUUGUAUUCAUAAUUUCCUAUUAUUUUUCUUACCGGGGUUCCCCAGUGUGGUAUACGCUCUACUCACAUCCUGCAAAAUGUGGAUCCGCCCCUGUGUGCGCAACACGCUCGGCCUCUCCGGUGCCUCAGUUUUCUCAUCUGUUAAGUGGAAAGAGUGUUACGGUGCUGAUGAAGUGAAUGAAUACGUUUAGGACGCUUGACAAGUGCCUGGCACGUUGUUAAGUCCCCGAUAGCUGUCGGCUUCUCAAGUAAAUCUCCAGCUAGUGAAUAUGCUAAAUGCUAGUAAAUGUGCUUCGUGGUUUACAUUGGUCAUGUUAUUUAAUUAUGCUUAAUUGUCACAACAACCCCUCCCAUUUUACAGGUGAGAAAACAGAGGCUCGGAGAGGUGAGGUCACAGAGCUUAGAAGCCACACGGGUCUGAUGAUGCCAGGGCCAUGCCCCUUAACUAUUGCCCUGAUACCUCCCUGUUUAUGAGGGGCGCCUGGCAGCUGAACCUGAAGGAUCACACCGCAGCCAGGCACUGCCUGCCAGGUCACUUGCAGGGAAUCCAUGAAGCCCCUGCCGGGGAAGAGCUCCUCAUCCCCCCCAAGUCCAGCUGGGCCCCCCUGGCUCUGCCACACCUAGUGCCCUCGUCCCUCCUGCCCCCUAGAGCUUCCUCUUGAGCCCCUGUCACCAGAGGCCCUGGCCCAGGUGGGGCGGGGGCCAACGGGUGACAAUGACCGAUUUAGAAAGUAAAGUUGCUUCUCAAACAAAUAAGAAAGAAGAGGAAAGAAAGAAAUGGCCUGCCCGCUUCCUGCCCCACUCUCUCUCCCAGCACCUGGGGCCCAGCUGUGAGCUUUUCACUGCUUGUUUGUUCAUCCUGCUCAAGGAGCCUCUUCUUAAAGCUCCAGGCCCCCUCCACGGGGGCGGCGGGAUGACUGUGGAGCCCAUGGAAAUAAGCACCCUCCAUGAUUGUUGUAUUGUCGCCCGUCUAGAGUAUUGUUUUGGACAACAAUACCAAUAAUCAUAACAAUCUGGGUUUCCUGCAGUUGGCAGAGGGGGGGUUACGGGCUUCGACUUGGGUGUGGCCGUCCUGGCUGCGAUUUCUGAGGUGUGAAGGCCUGCGCAGGUCAUUAGCUCUCUCUGGGCCUCAGUUUCCUUGCCUGCAAAGUGGGAAUGGGGGCAUGGUGAGCGCCGGAGGAGGCAAGCAAGAGCGCGUACCACGCAGGGCACGGCCGCUGCUCAGUCGGUUACCAAAGCCAGGGUCACCCAAGAGCACGACUUUAAGAGCCUCCCCAGACGGGGUGGGAAAACUCGGUGGACUAGGAGGGGGUGAUAAUGCCUGUUGUGUUCUAGCCUCCGUUGUAAGGGCUUUAUGUACAAUAACUCACUUCAUCCUCACCACGCCGCGUGCGUGCAUACUGCCACCCCUGUGUUACAGAUGAGAUGAAGACACCCAAGAGUGAUUUGCCCAAGGUCAGUGCAUCCGGCAGGUGCAGAGCCAGGCCGAACCCAGCCUGUCCCACUCCAAAACCGGCGCUCUUCUUAGGGGCAUACGCUGCCCCGGGGGGAGGUCUGGCUGCAUAGGGUCUGCUUUGCUGCGUCACUGUGGACAAGCCCUUUCCUUCUCAGCCUCAGUUCUUGCUCUGCAAGCUGAACAGCCCACGGUACCUGCCUCCAGACAGCAUACAGCCCACAGGAAAAGUCAUGGUCAGAUUUAGUGACCGUGUAGAGAAAGACAACGAAUGAACAUAUCAGGGGCUCUGGAAGCCACGGCUGCCGCUGCCGUAAUUAUUAUUAGUUUUAGAGUCACAGGCGAGAGUCAGCCUAGAGGAUGCUGAGGGCCCUGCCCAGCUCUGCAAAUCUAAAUCCUGUGGUUGCAGCUGGGGAGUGACUCUAGGAGGCACCUGGUGAGAGGUGGCUCUACCCGUUGGGGCUAAAAUAAUCCCUGAGGCUGCCACCAUGCAAUCUGCCACUCACCUGCUCUAAUUAAUGGCAAACUCACCAACCCUGCCUCUCUGCCUCACUCCCAUCCCCCACGAGCUGUGUGGCCCUGGAGAAAUCACUCGACCUCUCUGAGACAGGAAAAGGACAUGACCCUGCAGAAUUUUGAUGGAUUAGAGAUAAUGCAGACAGAGUACUCAGCACAGUGCCUGAUGUGUAGUUGAGAAGAGGUGAUGAGAACCUGAGUUUGGGGGCCGACCCGCGUUCCAUUCCCGGCUACACCAUUUCCUAUUGUGUACCCUCGGGCAAGUUCCUUGCACUCUCUGAGCCUGGAAAAUGGGUUAGCACAGCACCCGGCACACAGUAGUUGUUUACCUAAUGAUUGUGGUUGGUGGUGACCGUGUCUUGCCCUCUAUAAAGAUGUCCAGAGGCCUUCAAAGAUCCCAGGGGUAUAAUGUUCUCCACAGUGCUGCGUUUCUCUGUUUGCCCCUCUAGAACUCCCCUCUGCCCUUCUCCAUCCUGUUCUGUGCCCUGGCAGGUGAACUCUGGGGUGCCAUCAAUGGCCUCUUUUGCCCUCUGGUUCUGGUUGGGUGGGGCAGGAAGGCAGAGGGCAGGUGGAGAAUGGGGCAUAGUGAUUCCCCCAGCCCCUUGCUACAGGGUCGCACGGGUUGGCUGUGUCCCUCACCCAAAGGCUCUGGCUCCUGGUAGGCGACCCCGUGCAUACAUCUCUGGCCCUGAGUCCGGGUCGCUUCUCCCUCUUCACCCUUCAGGCCAUGGGUGGUAACGGCCCCCCCGCUGUGGCCAGCCCUGGGAUACUGCACCAUCCCUCCCGGUCUCCCUGAAUCCUGCCUGCGACUUUGGUAAUAGUCUCUUGAUUAAACCCUCUUCAAACUUCUCAACUUGAGUGUACCGUCUGUUUCCUGCCAAGGCCCUGCUCAUGGUUUUACUGUGACCUGUAUCCUGUUGUAUUCGUCAAGGACUCCAGGUAGAAUAGCAAAACUUCACCCUGCUUUCACAUGUACAUACGUAUCCACUUGAGUAACUUUGGCUGAGUAUCUGCUGUGUGCCGGGCCCCGUACAGGCAGCCGGGAGCAGAGAUAACCGAGCUAGAGCUCCUGACCCCAAGGAGUUCAUGGACUAGAUGGGGAGACAGACGCCUAAACAGACAACCACAAUAUUUGCUAAGAAGCCGUUAUAGAAGCGUGUUCAAACCCUGAGGCAAGAGAAACCCUCAAACUCUGAGGGAGGCUGGGAAGGCUGCAUAGCAGAGGGACCUCCUCAAAGGUAAAAAAAAUUCUUAAUAACAUUUUGUCUAACCCAAUAUUUCAAGGUAUUAUCAAUGUAUAAUAUCACUUAAAAGUGAUACAAAAGUCCUUAAGAAUUUUAACAUUUUUUCCCCUAAGUCUUAAACAGUCCAGUGCGUGUUUUACAUGCACGGCACGUCUCCGCUCGGCCGGUCCCCGUUUCAGGUGCUCAGGAGCCACAGGGGGCUGUUUCCCCCCACUUUACAGAUGAGGAAGCAGAGACUCAGGAGUUAAGUCACUUGUCCGAGGUCCCACUCCCCGAUGGGGGCAUGAUGUGAACCCACGUCUCCGUAGCUCCAAAGCCUGUCUCUUCCCGCUGCCCUGUUCCGUCUCUGGGCCAACCCCUGCUCCCCAGAGUGAAGACUUGGCCGAGGGCUAAAAAGUUAAAACUUCACCUGAGGUGAACUUCACCUCUGACCCCAAAUCCUGUAAUGUUUCUACAUCGGUUGAGUCCAUGGGACAGAGUGGGGGAGGGUAACCCACCAAACUGGGUUCUGACCCCUGUUGGGUCUAGGGUGCCUGGGAGGGCGUGAAGAUAGGCUGGCAGGAGAGAACUGGGGACGACUGGUGAGUUGUAAGAGUCUCUUGCCGGGGGAGCUGUUAAUGGCUGGAAGGCACGGCCUGCGUUGGACGGGAGGUCUGCAGAGGUAACAGACUAGGCUCACCAGACGGUAGCCAGCAGGUCAACUUGGCGUCUUCGCCUCCACCACACUCAGCGGUUCCUCCCUAGGCAAAACGCCGUAUCAUCCAGAAACACCCACUCCUGCGUAUGUAGGGUCACAGUGAAUAAGUCACUGUCAUUUUCACACCGAUGCGGGGGAAAUUUCGAUGGGAUGAUAAAGGUAAGGCCUUCUUCUUCUUCUUUUUUUUUUAAUAUUUAUUUAUUUUUGAGAGACAGAGACAGAGCGUGAGUCGGGGAGAGGCAGAGAGAGAGGGAGACACAGAAUCCGAAGCAGGCUCCAGGCUCCGAGCUGUCAGCACAGGGCCCGACGCGGGACUCGAACCCACGAACUGUGAGAUCAUGACCUGAGCCCAAGUCAGAUGCUUAACCGACUGAGCCACCCGGGCAGCCCGGUAAGGCCUUGUGAUGGGCAGCUUAUCCAGGCUCUCGUGUGGAGAGAGUCCUGGGAGGAUUCUUAGACCCACGUCCGUGCUUUGGAGGAGAAACCAGAGCCAUGGAACGUUGGCUGCGAGUAGGGGAGGUCCCUGGCAAGCCCGGGGUGUGUGUGAUGCUAAAAACCGUGAUCAGUAGCUGAGUAUUCAACACCCACCAAUUCACUUUCAUCAGCUGUCCACCUGCCGGUAGAAUCAUCAUCCAACCAUCCAUCCGUCCACUGUCCACUCCUCCAGCAUCCAUCUCCCAAUUCCCUCAUUCCCCCCUCUCCCCAUUCACUCACUUCCCUCCAGUCCUGUCCCCCCCCUCCCCCCCAUCCCUCACCACUGACUCUGCACCUGGUCCUGUGCUGGAUGCUCAGUGUGCAACGAGUAAGACUGCGAUCUUCCUUCAAACCCAGGGAGGCAGGCAGACGCUUCGUCUACGCGAGGGAGGUGAAUGUGGUGGUGGAGGGUUCUAGGAGGUCUGAGAUUUCAGACCUGGAAGACCUAGACAGGCAUCAGAGUUAGUCCCGCGAUGCUAAGUCUGGGAAACCGAGGUCUAGAGAGGAGAAAAGACAUGCCAAGUCACAGAGUCAUGGGGGGCGGGGGUGAGCUCAGGUCUCACUCCCAUUUCCCUGUUCUUUCCGCCAGACUCUAGGCCCCACUUCCCCAUCCAUACUCAGCAACACUGGAGGCCAAGCGCUCUCAACCCCUUAGUGCCUGGCACGGCCCUGGGCCUGGGGAAGGGGAACUUCCCUGUUGCCACGGCACGCCUGCGCUGUCCCCACGGACAAUCAGAUUGGUAGAGCUUUCUCGUGCUCUUCCCAUCGUCCCACGGAAAACCCACCACAGUUCCGGAGGACUGGCAUCACCACCCCUUUUUACAGAAAAGGGGGCUCGGAGGGGGGAAGGGGCCUGCCUAGAGUCACACAGCUCGAGUGCAGCGGAGCCAGCAUCCUGAGUCACCAUUCUGAACCCGAUCUGAGACACCAGGCGGCACCUCACGUAGCCUUGAAUGUUCUGGCCCCAGGCCGAUGUUGUGCCAUUGAAGUCAGGGGCUGCUGACAGGUAGGUUCGGCAGGGACGGGAACGUUGGGGGAAGGACCCUGAAAAGGAAACCCCGGAGAUUGUUUUCACCUGGAAGGGCUCCGCCCCGCCCAGCAAUGGAAAAUGUGUGUCAGAGGAAGCCGCUGGCUGGGGAUGGGGUAGGUGUGCGUGGGUGAGCAUUUGGAGGGGCACAACGGGGGAGGGGCAGGAUGCGCUGGGGUUGGUGGGCAAGGUCGGGGUGCCGGAGCGGGGCGCGGGCUCUGCCCUCUGCCCACUGCCUUUUUCUCUCUGGUUCUCGCUUUCUUUCUCAUGCUCUCAGAACUAACAAUACAACUUUCACUUCCAGACAGAUGGGCCGACUGUCCUAUGAAAGCUGUCCCCACGCCCUACCUCCCAGAUCCCCUUGGCCAAUUCGCUCUGCUCGGUAGUUACCGCAGCAAGCAUUUAUUGCGCUCCUGCUGCAUGCUCAGAUGCAGGCAUGCAGGAUGGCCUCUUCCCUGCCCAGAGAAGUGCACAACCUGGUGAGGACAGAAAUAUGACGAGACAGGGCCAUUGUGACAAGGUACCGCAAAGCAAAGCUGGGGUUAAGACAACACGGACUUAUUCACUCUCUGUUCUGGAGGUUCGAGGAUUGAAAUCGAGAACAAAAGGAGUCUCCAGCAGCAGAGGAUUGUAAACCUCCAGCCCCGAGUGAGCGGCUAGUUCCCGGGUCAAUAAUUGUGAUGAUC
This is a long non-coding RNA of Panthera uncia (snow leopard), 9998 nucleotides long. RefSeq lists it as uncharacterized. NCBI's taxonomy places the organism in Eukaryota, Metazoa, Chordata, Mammalia, Carnivora, Felidae. The record is from RefSeq and is a predicted model, not a curated record. The transcript has 3 exons.